AGUCGACGAUGAAUCUUCUAGCUUGCUAGAAGUGGAUUAGUGGCGCACGGGUGAGUAAUGCAUAGGUUAUGUGCCCUUUAGUCUGGGAUAGCCACUGGAAACGGUGAUUAAUACUGGAUACUCCCUACGGGGGAAAGUUUUUCGCUAAAGGAUCAGCCUAUGUCCUAUCAGCUUGUUGGUGAGGUAAUGGCUCACCAAGGCUAUGACGGGUAUCCGGCCUGAGAGGGUGAUCGGACACACUGGAACUGAGACACGGUCCAGACUCCUACGGGAGGCAGCAGUAGGGAAUAUUGCUCAAUGGGGGAAACCCUGAAGCAGCAACGCCGCGUGGAGGAUGAAGGUUUUAGGAUUGUAAACUCCUUUUGUUAGAGAAGAUUAUGACGGUAUCUAACGAAUAAGCACCGGCUAACUCCGUGCCAGCAGCCGCGGUAAUACGGAGGGUGCAAGCGUUACUCGGAAUCACUGGGCGUAAAGAGUGCGUAGGCGGGGUAAUAAGUCAGAUGUGAAAUCCUGUAGCUUAACUACAGAACUGCAUUUGAAACUGUUACUCUGGAGUGUGGGAGAGGUAGGUGGAAUUCUUGGUGUAGGGGUAAAAUCCGUAGAGAUCAAGAGGAAUACUCAUUGCGAAGGCGACCUGCUGGAACAUUACUGACGCUGAUGCACGAAAGCGUGGGGAGCGAACAGGAUUAGAUACCCUGGUAGUCCACGCCCUAAACGAUGGAUGCUAGUUGUUGCCUUGCUUGUCAGGGCAGUAAUGCAGCUAACGCAUUAAGCAUCCCGCCUGGGGAGUACGGUCGCAAGAUUAAAACUCAAAGGAAUAGACGGGGACCCGCACAAGCGGUGGAGCAUGUGGUUUAAUUCGAAGAUACGCGAAGAACCUUACCUAGGCUUGACAUUGAUA
RNAcentral lists this ribosomal RNA (901 nucleotides) under uncultured bacterium. RNAcentral's name for it is "bacterial SSU rRNA". It matches the Rfam family "Bacterial small subunit ribosomal RNA", at positions 60 to 992 of the family's 1533-position model. The record is from RNAcentral.